Molecule: ribosomal RNA, 279 nt
Filed under: uncultured bacterium
Lineage: Bacteria
Description: partial 16S ribosomal RNA
Rfam family: Bacterial small subunit ribosomal RNA
Source: RNAcentral
UGCCAGCAGCCGCGGUAAUACGGAGGGUGCAAGCGUUGCUCGGAAUCACUGGGCGUAAAGCGAACGCAGGCGGAUCGUUAAGUUGGGUGUGAAAGCCCGGGGCUCAACCCCGGAACUGCAUUCAAAACUGGCGGUCUUGAGUACGGGAGGGGGAAGUGGAAUUCCUGGUGUAGAGGUGAAAUUCGUAGAUAUCAGGAGGAACACCUGUGGCGAAAGCGACUUCCUGGCCCGAAACUGACGCUCAUGUUCGAAAGCGUGGGGAGCAGACAGGAUUAGAUA